Molecule: ribosomal RNA, 850 nt
Filed under: Micrococcus sp.
Lineage: Bacteria; Bacillati; Actinomycetota; Actinomycetes; Micrococcales; Micrococcaceae
Description: bacterial SSU rRNA
Rfam family: Bacterial small subunit ribosomal RNA
Source: RNAcentral
UACGUGCCAGCAGCCGCGGUAAUACGUAGGGUGCGAGCGUUAUCCGGAAUUAUUGGGCGUAAAGAGCUCGUAGGCGGUUUGUCGCGUCUGUCGUGAAAGUCCGGGGCUUAACCCCGGAUCUGCGGUGGGUACGGGCAGACUAGAGUGCAGUAGGGGAGACUGGAAUUCCUGGUGUAGCGGUGGAAUGCGCAGAUAUCAGGAGGAACACCGAUGGCGAAGGCAGGUCUCUGGGCUGUAACUGACGCUGAGGAGCGAAAGCAUGGGGAGCGAACAGGAUUAGAUACCCUGGUAGUCCAUGCCGUAAACGUUGGGCACUAGGUGUGGGGACCAUUCCACGGUUUUCGCGCCGCAGCUAACGCAUUAAGUGCCCCGCCUGGGGAGUACGGCCGCAAGGCUAAAACUCAAAGGAAUUGACGGGGGCCCGCACAAGCGGCGGAGCAUGCGGAUUAAUUCGAUGCAACGCGAAGAACCUUACCAAGGCUUGACAUGUUCUCGAUCGCCGUAGAGAUACGGUUUCGCCUUUGGGGCGGGUUCACAGGUGGUGCAUGGUUGUCGUCAGCUCGUGUCGUGAGAUGUUGGGUUAAGUCCCGCAACGAGCGCAACCCUCGUUCCAUGUUGCCAGCACGUAAUGGUGGGGACUCAUGGGAGACUGCCGGGGUCAACUCGGAGGAAGGUGAGGACGACGUCAAAUCAUCAUGCCCCUUAUGUCUUGGGCUUCACGCAUGCUACAAUGGCCGGUACAAUGGGUUGCGAUACUGUGAGGUGGAGCUAAUCCCAAAAAGCCGGUCUCAGUUCGGAUUGGGGUCUGCAACUCGACCCCAUGAAGUCGGAGUCGCUAGUAAUCGCAGAU